UGGGGAAUAUUGGACAAUGGGCGAAAGCCUGAUCCAGCCAUGCCGCGUGUGUGAAGAAGGUCUUCGGAUUGUAAAGCACUUUAAGUUGGGAGGAAGGGCAGUAAGUUAACACCUUGCUGUUUUGACGUUACCGACAGAAUAAGCACCGGCUAACUCUGUGCCAG
RNAcentral lists this ribosomal RNA (164 nucleotides) under uncultured bacterium. Its description in RNAcentral is "partial 16S rRNA". It matches the Rfam family "Bacterial small subunit ribosomal RNA", at positions 355 to 511 of the family's 1533-position model. The record is from RNAcentral.